Misgurnus anguillicaudatus (oriental weatherfish) is the source of this 1860-nucleotide non-coding RNA. The record is from RefSeq and is a predicted model, not a curated record. NCBI's taxonomy places the organism in Eukaryota, Metazoa, Chordata, Actinopteri, Cypriniformes, Cobitidae.
AGGGCAGACGUAAAUUCAUUUCAAAAUAUAACUUAACGUUAACAUAGAGGUGUGUGAGAGAGAUACGGAGCAGCGGUUAUCUGCCGCGUUACCUUAAAAAUAAACUAAGUGCGUAUGUCAAUGUUUUAAGACAUUUUAAGGGGUGAUUCAUAUCGCGUCUUUUGCGCGCUCAAGUUCGUUAUUUCAAAUAUAGGCGAAGCGACGCAUGAUAGCAAAAAAUAUCCGCAUGGCUUCUUUAUGCCGCCAGCCCCAAGCUGUCGGCUAUAGGUGCGUUCCGCUGGCGGGGAUGAAACUUUUGCCGCCGAAUACGUCACUCUCAUUUGUUGCGAGAUGCCGCCAGCAUGCAGCCGGCGGACCGACUGCUUAAUUUAUGCAAAAGCGGCUGCCGCGGCGGUUCGCCGUCAGACCUGUUUGCGAUUACGCCCUUUAUGACGCUUACUGCCGCCAGAGCACCGCCGACUCAUUGCCAUCUGCUCGUUUUUUCCGGCGCGUCCGCACCGCAUUGAUUUAAAAACAUUUCAACUUUUCAGAGUCAUCUGUGUUUUUGCAAGUAACUUACACGAACGUUAAUGUGAUUUCCAGCUGUAGGUAUUUUUUCCACACUUCACAAGGAUGGGGACAUCACUCAGAAGAGUGAAGUUUCGAGAAGCCCUGGAUAACAACUACAAUAACAUUCUGAAGUUCGUCCAAGGAGUCAACUAUCAUCAACGGGGUGCUUCUUGGGCAUUAAUUCGGAGACAGACAGGCAGAAAGGACAGAAACAACAAGCUGCAAGUCUGUACACUGAUUAGAAAACUUAUGACUUGAAUGGAUGUCAGUCUAGUGUGUCACAAAUACUAGUUCUUUGUUUAGCUAGAGGCGAUUGUACACUUUGUACUCUUACAAUGUUCUAUAUCAGGAGUCUCCAACGUGGUGCCCAUGGGCAGCAGGUAGCCCGCACAGAGUCUGUGAGGUGCCCACCAAAUCACAUUCUAUUAAUAGUCUCAAUUGUAAUAUUUGUUGAUUACAUAUUUUUUAUAUUGACUUGGCUUGGUUUACAUAUGUUACAAUUUUAAACAAUACAAAAACAUAUCAAAAAGUACAAUGAAAUAAAUCAACAAGUAAAACAAAAAAAAGUUUUGAGUAGACUAUAUCAAAAGUUAGCCCUCCAGAAUGUUUUAUCCAUUGUGGUAGUCCUUGCUCACAAAAAGGUUGGAGACCCCUGUUCUAUAUUGUGUCUGUUACAUAAAGAUACAUGAAGAAAUUAGUGAAUGUCAGUCUACAUUGUAAAAAUAAAAUAUUUGUUGCACUUAUUUUUUAAGUUUAAUUAACUCUAAAUUACAAUUUAUUUCAACUUUCUUGACUAGUGAGGAGUUGCUAUUAAUUAUAAAAAAUAAAGUUGAAAUAACUUAAGCUAACUACUUUAAUUUUAUAAUUGAUAGCAACUCUUCAUUAGUCAAAAAAGUUAAAUGAAUUAUAAAUUCAAGUUGAUUAAAUUGAAAAAUGUAAGUUCCGUUUUUUACAGUGUAGAGCGGGGUGGGCAUUCCUGGUCUUUGAGGGCCACUGUCCUGCAAAGUUUAGCUCCAACCCUAAUCAAACACACCUCAAUGUCAUUUCCAAGUCAUACUGAAGCCUUUGAUUGAGAUUUUCAGGUGUGUUUGAUUAGGGUUGGAGCUAAACUUUGCAGGACAGUGGCCUUCAAGGACCUGGAAUGACCACCCCUGCUGUAGAGUGUAAGCAGUGUUCCAAUGCACGAAAGGAAAUAUUAUUCUGUGUAGUUAUUAUUCUGAUGUUAUUUAUACUAUCUGAGAUAGUCAAUGAAUAAUAUGUAAUAAUAAUAUGUAAUAAUAUGUUAUGUACAAAAUAAAAGUAUGAAAUCGA